RNAcentral lists this ribosomal RNA (1311 nucleotides) under Bacillus sp. (in: firmicutes). Its description in RNAcentral is "bacterial SSU rRNA". It matches the Rfam family "Bacterial small subunit ribosomal RNA", at positions 56 to 1351 of the family's 1533-position model. The record is from RNAcentral. Lineage: Bacteria; Bacillati; Bacillota; Bacilli; Caryophanales; Bacillaceae.
UGCAGUCGAGCGGANAGAUGGGAGCUUGCUCCCUGAUGUUAGCGGCGGACGGGUGAGUAACACGUGGGUAACCUGCCUGUAAGACUGGGAUAACUCCGGGAAACCGGGGCUAAUACCGGAUGNUUGUUUGAACCGCAUGGUUCAGACAUAAAAGGUGGCUUCGGCUACCACUUACAGAUGGACCCGCGGCGCAUUAGCUAGUUGGUGAGGUAACGGCUCACCAAGGCNACGAUGCGUAGCCGACCUGAGAGGGUGAUCGGCCACACUGGGACUGAGACACGGCCCAGACUCCUACGGGAGGCAGCAGUAGGGAAUCUUCCGCAAUGGACGAAAGUCUGACGGAGCAACGCCGCGUGAGUGAUGAAGGUUUUCGGAUCGUAAAGCUCUGUUGUUAGGGAAGAACAAGUGCCGUUCAAAUAGGGCGGCACCUUGACGGUACCUAACCAGAAAGCCACGGCUAACUACGUGCCAGCAGCCGCGGUAAUACGUAGGUGGCAAGCGUUGUCCGGAAUUAUUGGGCGUAAAGGGCUCGCAGGCGGUUUCUUAAGUCUGAUGUGAAAGCCCCCGGCUCAACCGGGGAGGGUCAUUGGAAACUGGGGAACUUGAGUGCAGAAGAGGAGAGUGGAAUUCCACGUGUAGCGGUGAAAUGCGUAGAGAUGUGGAGGAACACCAGUGGCGAAGGCGACUCUCUGGUCUGUAACUGACGCUGAGGAGCGAAAGCGUGGGGAGCGAACAGGAUUAGAUACCCUGGUAGUCCACGCCGUAAACGAUGAGUGCUAAGUGUUAGGGGGUUUCCGCCCCUUAGUGCUGCAGCUAACGCAUUAAGCACUCCGCCUGGGGAGUACGGUCGCAAGACUGAAACUCAAAGGAAUUGACGGGGGCCCGCACAAGCGGUGGAGCAUGUGGUUUAAUUCGAAGCAACGCGAAGAACCUUACCAGGUCUUGACAUCCUCUGACAAUCCUAGAGAUAGGACGUCCCCUUCGGGGGCAGAGUGACAGGUGGUGCAUGGUUGUCGUCAGCUCGUGUCGUGAGAUGUUGGGUUAAGUCCCGCAACGAGCGCAACCCUUGAUCUUAGUUGCCAGCAUUCAGUUGGGCACUCUAAGGUGACUGCCGGUGACAAACCGGAGGAAGGUGGGGAUGACGUCAAAUCAUCAUGCCCCUUAUGACCUGGGCUACACACGUGCUACAAUGGACAGAACAAAGGGCAGCGAAACCGCGAGGUUAAGCCAAUCCCACAAAUCUGUUCUCAGUUCGGAUCGCAGUCUGCAACUCGACUGCGUGAAGCNGGAAUCGCUAGUAAUCGNGGAUCA